CUUCCCUGACACGGAAGAGGUCACUGGUUCGAACCCAGUAUCGCCCA
Molecule: transfer RNA, 47 nt
Filed under: Sinomonas humi
Lineage: Bacteria; Bacillati; Actinomycetota; Actinomycetes; Micrococcales; Micrococcaceae
Rfam family: tRNA
About the family: Transfer RNA (tRNA) molecules are approximately 80 nucleotides in length. Their secondary structure includes four short double-helical elements and three loops (D, anti-codon, and T loops).
Source: Rfam by way of RNAcentral